Non-coding RNA from Odocoileus virginianus texanus, 1472 nucleotides. The record is from RefSeq and is a predicted model, not a curated record. NCBI's taxonomy places the organism in Eukaryota, Metazoa, Chordata, Mammalia, Artiodactyla, Cervidae.
ACCGCUCAUGCGAGCCGGGCCCUGAGUGAGCAGAGGAGGAGGCUGCCAAGGCUGAGCGGCCGCUUCUGCUAAUAGGUCCGGGGCCGAGAGGGCUCAGGAACCAUUUAUUCAUCUCUUCGAGAGGGCUACUUCAUUCUCGUGAAGUUGGAGCGGAACUGAACCAUGAGGUGUGAGAGUGACUCAGAAGAGCCUGAGGGGCAACUGGAUCCCAUGCGGCAGCAGAUGUACUUCCACACGGUCAGAAAGUGCUGCAGUAAAUGGGGUGAAGGAAUGAUAUGACCAGUGAAGAUCAAAGAAGAGUAUCAGAUUUGUCUGUAACAAUCUGUUAUUCCCAGUGGAAAUUAUUUUAUCUCUCUGAGAUGCGGUUGGCACUUCUAUCAUAUAAAGGCAGCAAGAUUAUCUUCAAGAAAAACAGCUCUAAAAUCCAUCCAUCCUAUUGACGUCAAUUGCUUAGGAAGGGAGUGAAUACAGAAAACUUCGUAGAAAGUCAGCUCUGCGUGUUUUAUCUCUUUUAGAUUUCCAAGUGAAAACAAUUACUAGAAAGCCUGGGGUUGUUGCUGAUUAUAAAACAGUGAUUUUCCCUCUCCUGUGAUUUUAAAAAAUUCUGUAGUUUGAACUAUCUGAAUCAAAGUUUAAACUUUGAUUUAUAUAGCUGUAUAAGAAUUUUGCAAUGUCAACUGUGAAGUUUGAAUUGGAUAAUCUUUCUCCUGAAGGAUUCAGACAUGAGCAUGCGUCCAGCUCAGAUUUUAUUUUAACCUGCUUGACUGAACUUUCUGGUGAUUCUAGUCAAUGGGAACUUCAGCACUCCAAUUCUGUCCCUGUUGGUAAGCUAAACUUUAGAUUGAUAUUUUUGAGUAUCUUAAUUUAGAUCUGUACUUUUUAAAUGCCAGAUGUGUAAAAAGUAAAUCUUGAUGUCAUUUACUUUGCAGUGGUGUAACUGAUGUCAGUUUUAAUUUCUUGAGUUAUUUUUUCCUGAAAUAUAUAAAUACUUUUAUAGAAAAAAAUAGAGGGUUUUCCAAUAGAGUAAAAUGUCAGAAAACAAAUUCAAUGAACUAAAAAAUGUUAAUGGUGAAGUAGAUUUUGUUUGUCUGAACACUCAAGUCUAUCAUGGCUUAGUUUUGUUUGGGAUGACUGAUGAAAUCAGGGGAUUUAUCCAUAAACUGCAAAAAAAAAAAAAAAAGUCCUGCCAUCUUUCAUUCCUCUUUUUUAUUUCUGUUUCCUUUUACAUAAUUAUAUCAAGAACAAUAUAUGCUUUGCCUCUCUUUAAGAACAAGAUAGUAUUACUUCUGGUUUUGUUGUUUUAUUUGGAUUCUGUGUGAGCUGACAGUGUUAAUAGAAUUUAAUGUGAAGGGUUUCUUUUUUGAUACCUUUGGGAAUCUCAGUUUUCCUUCUUGCUCUGCAAUGUUGAGUAAAUAAUGCUAGACACUAAUAGUUUGCAUUCAUCAAAAAUUUCUGAGGGUUUCAUUUGGAUG